UUUCAGGGCAGGGCGUAAUUCCCGACCGGCGGUAAACUCCGCGAGCCGAAAGGUUGAGCUAGUGAAAUUCUGGCAGCGACAGUAAAGUCUGGAUGGAAGAGAU
This 103-nucleotide non-coding RNA is filed under the name uncultured Bulleidia sp. RNAcentral's name for it is "FMN riboswitch (RFN element)". It matches the Rfam family "FMN riboswitch aptamer (RFN element)". Rfam says of the family: The RFN element is a highly conserved domain that is found frequently in the 5'-untranslated regions of prokaryotic mRNAs that encode for flavin mononucleotide (FMN) biosynthesis and transport proteins. This element is a metabolite-dependent riboswitch that directly binds FMN in the absence of proteins. In Bacillus subtilis, the riboswitch most likely controls gene expression by causing premature transcription termination within the 5' untranslated region of the ribDEAHT operon and precluding access to the ribosome-binding site of ypaA mRNA. Lineage: Bacteria; Bacillati; Bacillota; Erysipelotrichia; Erysipelotrichales; Erysipelotrichaceae. The record is from RNAcentral.